UUUUUGCAAUUUUGCAAUUUUUUCUGUAGCUUGAUUUAAUGAAGAAUGCCCGAUCCACGCCCCCCUUGAUGAAAUUAUGAAUUUAAAUUACAUGAGAUGGAAAGAAUUUUUAAUGUUCGCUUUCCUGAUCGACCAGUAUGACGAAGGUGAUUCGCGAGCUAAUUCUGAAAUUUACCGAGACGGGCAGUGUUGCCAGUAGGAAUAAUCCAAGGCGUCCGAGCUAUCCAGAAAAAAAAACAGGUGGAUAUAUAGCAGCUAUGGUAAGAGAUCACAACAUUCCACUUCCACAGUUCUACAUUACACACGUGUGAUGUAUCUUCAGCUACUGUGAAAAGGAAUAUGAUACUGAUCGACGUAUGGAAUUCUAUGAAGUAAUGAAAGAAUACAUUUGUUUCAGUUAUAAAUGUACUUUUUUAUUGAAUGGUAAUGUUCAUAGACAAAAUAUCCGUUAUUGGAGCGACGUAAAUCCCCACACAUUUCGUGAAACACACACACCAAAAACAUGUUUGGGCUAUAUUAGAGAAUCACAUUGUUGGGCCUAUCUUUUUAGAGCAAAAUUUGACAGGACACCUUCACUUAAACAUGUUGGAAAGAACCACUUAUUCUCGAGAUUAUUGAAUACAAUCCCCAUAAGCUUCAGUUGGAAACAGUUUUUCAACAAGAUGGGGGACCGCCUUUAGCAGUAAGCUGUUAGAGAAUAUUUGACUAACUUUUUCUUUGUUUCCAUUGUACUUAAGUAUCUUAUUUUUUUGUAACUUAUAAGGGUUAAUAAAAGUCGUUUUUAUUUA
Anthonomus grandis grandis is the source of this 788-nucleotide long non-coding RNA. RefSeq lists it as uncharacterized. The record is from RefSeq and is a predicted model, not a curated record. Lineage: Eukaryota; Metazoa; Arthropoda; Insecta; Coleoptera; Curculionidae. The transcript has 2 exons.